UGCAUGUCUCAGUGCAACCAAACUAAGGUGAAACCGCAAAUGGCUCAUUAAAUCAGUUAUGGUUCAUUAGAUGAUACACCACUUUACUUGGAUAACUGUGGUAAUUCUAGAGCUAAUACAUGCAAACAGAGUUCCCAUCGGAGACGGUAGGAACGCUUUUAUUAGAUCAAAACCAAUACGUUCGUUCGCGGACGCUACCAUUGGUGACUCUGAAUAACUUUUUGAUGAUCGCAUGGUCCUUGUACCGGCGACAAGUCUUUCAAAUGUCUGCCUUAUCAACUGUCGAUGGUAGGCUCUGCGCCUACCAUGGUUGUAACGGGUGACGGGGAAUCAGGGUUCGAUUCCGGAGAGGGAGCCUGAGAAACGGCUACCACAUCCAAGGAAGGCAGCAGGCGCGCAAAUUACCCACUCCCGGCACGGGGAGGUAGUGACGAAAAAUAACGAUACGGGACUCAUCCGAGGCCCCGUAAUCGGAAUGAGCACACUUUAAAUACUUUAACAAGUAUCCAUUGGAGGGCAAGUCUGGUGCCAGCAGCCGCGGUAAUUCCAGCUCCAAUAGCGUAUAUUAAAGUUGUUGCGGUUAAAAAGCUCGUAGUUGGGACUGUGUCCCGCACUGUCGGUGCGCCAUUUAUGGUGUUUACUGACAUGCUGCGGUACGUC
RNAcentral lists this ribosomal RNA (660 nucleotides) under Euborellia femoralis. Its description in RNAcentral is "SSU rRNA". It matches the Rfam family "Eukaryotic small subunit ribosomal RNA", at positions 52 to 698 of the family's 1831-position model. Lineage: Eukaryota; Metazoa; Arthropoda; Insecta; Dermaptera; Anisolabididae. The record is from RNAcentral.